GGGCAGCUACACAGCGAUGUGAUGCUAAUCUCCAAACCAUGUCUCAGUUCGGAUCGGAGUCUGCAACUCGACUCCGUGAAGCUGGAUUCGCUAGUAAUCGCGCAUCAGCCAUGGCGCGGUGAAUACGUUCCCGGGCCUUGUACACACCGCCCGUCAAGCCAUGGGAGCCGGGGGUACCUGAAGUCCGUAACCGCGAGGAUCGGCCUAGGGUAAAACUGGUGACUGGGGCUAAGUCGUAACAAGGUAGC
Molecule: ribosomal RNA, 248 nt
Filed under: uncultured bacterium
Lineage: Bacteria
Description: partial 16S ribosomal RNA
Rfam family: Bacterial small subunit ribosomal RNA
Source: RNAcentral